UGGGGAAUCUUGGACAAUGGGGGCAACCCUGAUCCAGCCAUGCCGCGUGAGUGAUGAAGGCCUUAGGGUCGUAAAGCUCUUUCGCCUGUGAAGAUAAUGACGGUAGCAGGUAAAGAAACCCCGGCUAACUCCGUGCCAGCAGCCGCGGUAAUACGGAGGGGGUUAGCGUUGUUCGGAAUUACUGGGCGUAAAGCGCACGUAGGCGGACCAGAAAGUUGGGGGUGAAAUCCCGGGGGCUCAACCCCGGAACUGCCUCCAAAACUAUUGGUCUAGAGUUCGAGAGAGGUGAGUGGAAUUCCAAGUGUAGAGGUGAAAUUCGUAGAUAUUUGGGAGGAACACCAGUGGCGAAGGCGGCUCACUGGCUCGAUACUGACGCUGAGGUGCGAAAGUGUGGGGAGCAAACAGGAUUAGAUACCCUGGUAGUCCACACCGUAAAACGAUGAAUGCCAGUCGUCGGGUAGCAUGCUAUUCGGUGACACACCUAAC
RNAcentral lists this ribosomal RNA (486 nucleotides) under uncultured bacterium. Its description in RNAcentral is "bacterial SSU rRNA". It matches the Rfam family "Bacterial small subunit ribosomal RNA", at positions 355 to 856 of the family's 1533-position model. The record is from RNAcentral.